This 1745-nucleotide long non-coding RNA is filed under the name Olea europaea (common olive). RNAcentral's name for it is "long non-coding RNA (OEUR_LNC012135)". Lineage: Eukaryota; Viridiplantae; Streptophyta; Magnoliopsida; Lamiales; Oleaceae. The record is from RNAcentral.
UUUACUGUUACGAGAAAACCAAAUAAGUUGGAAACUAAUCUAAUCUCACAACUCCUCACGAUCCCUACCAUUCAUUUGAUUUUUUUUUAAAGGAAUGCGUGGAUCGACAUGGAAACGAGACACACAAAUGAAGAGAAUGAUUCAUUUUUCGUCUUGCCACUCAUUACCAUACCACAUUAAUUUUACUAUCAAUUAUUCAUGAAUUGGUUCCAACCAAGCCCUAGAUCUGUUAUUUCUUCAUGGCGAUUUUCAGCCAAUAUGCUAUUGGUCUUUCUGGCGCCAUCAUCAUAUCAUUCUUCAUCAUCAUGGAAGGUGUUAUUUUCGACUCUGAUUUCAAGUACGCUAUUUGCGCCUCUCGCUAACGUAUAUUUUUUACUUUUUUGGGUAAUAUUUAUUUGAUGAAAAAUCCUAGAAUCCAUUGUGAAUUUGUGAAUUAAAGGAUCGGUUAAGAUGUUUUGAAUUAAAAAGGAUUAAGUUCUGGUUUUUAGUUUUCUUAUUUCUAGUCUAGUUUAAUCUUUAAAAAAAUGAAAAAAAAAAAAAAAGUUUUGGACCUUGUGAUUUUUAUAUAAUCGUUCUGAGAUCUUGGGUGAAGACAUCCAUUGCUGCACUUGUAUUUAUUUAACUCUUGAGUGUAUAAUUUACAUCUUAUGUCUAUAAUUAAAGAUUUUAAAUUGUUGGCUUAAUUUCAACGAUUUGAAUUGUCAUAUAGGAUUUCUCGUUCGAUUAUAGUCUUCAAUUCAUGAUAUGGAUUUUGUUGGGAUUAUUGUGUAUCAUUUUGCUCAUGAAACUAUCAUUCUCAAAUUCAAUUUCUUAUUAGAGAUGUUAUUUGAUAAUUUUGGUUAUUUGCUUUCCUAUUAAUGAAGAUGUUGUAUGUUUAAUUGUUACGGGAUGAAUUUGAGGCUGAAAUUGAAGAACAAGCAAAGGAAGUUGUGUUGGUGGAAAGGAAGGAAAGUCCCUAGUUCUUCAUUUCACGUGUCCCGUGGCAAAGAUUAUUAGAUUUUUCUUUAUGGAAACAAUUCUUACUAGAAAUUCACAAAUUUCUGAAUUACUAUUCUUAAUCUUAACUCGGAAGAUUUCGAUAUGAUCAGUAACGAAGAGUCCACAACUUUUUUCCCUUGCUUAUCGAAUUUGUGUCUACCAAUUGUAUAGAAAAAUGAUAGAUAGAUAAUGUUCAAAGUAUUGAGAGAUUUCAGUAGUGCUAUUUUGCGAUCUAAUACAACUAUGAUGGAUUUAUAGGUUUCUCACCCAGUCUGAACUUCUAAAAUAUGUUUCACUCCUAAUUUUUUACAUUUAUUUUCUUAACUCGUCUAGAGGUGUGUGUUUUCCGGUUCAUUUUUUUCUGAUCUUCCAUUGAAGAGUGCAUGGCAAUGGUACACAAUAUGGAAGGAAAAGCAAAGGGAAGCCGGUUUUAUUGCUAUGUAUGCAACUUUCUUUGUAACAAAGAUGUAUGUACAGUCUUGUUUCGGUUAAAGACGGAACAUUACAAUUGAAAAUGACCUAUGUAUAAUUAUGAAAUUUGGCGAUAAAAAAUCGUGGGAUGCCAUGACAAAGAUUCUGGGGUUGUUUUUUCAUUGAUAUAUGCAAAAAUUGGAUUAAAGUCGUUAGAACUGCUGAAAUAAUGUUCAUCAAUUUUUAGCUAGUGCAGUGACUAUGGAUUCGUUGAUGGUAUUGUUUAUGAGAUUCUUUUUGUUCAUUUUAACACAUUGAUGUUCUGUUUGGGGAGUAUUGUGUAUUGUUAAGUGUCA